CAGUAGCCGCGGUAACACGGAGGGAGCUAGCGUUGUUCGGAAUUACUGGGCGUAAAGCGCGCGUAGGCGGUUACUCAAGUCAGAGGUGAAAGCCCGGGGCUCAACCCCGGAACUGCCUUUGAAACUAGGUGACUAGAAUCUUGGAGAGGUCAGUGGAAUUCCGAGUGUAGAGGUGAAAUUCGUAGAUAUUCGGAAGAACACCAGUGGCGAAGGCGACUGACUGGACAAGUAUUGACGCUGAGGUGCGAAAGCGUGGGGAGCAAACAGGAUUAGAUACCCCCGUAGUCCCUGUCUCUUAUAA
RNAcentral lists this ribosomal RNA (301 nucleotides) under uncultured bacterium. RNAcentral describes it as "partial 16S ribosomal RNA". It matches the Rfam family "Bacterial small subunit ribosomal RNA", at positions 509 to 809 of the family's 1533-position model. The record is from RNAcentral.